Molecule: ribosomal RNA, 864 nt
Filed under: uncultured archaeon
Lineage: Archaea
Description: SSU rRNA
Rfam family: Archaeal small subunit ribosomal RNA
Source: RNAcentral
AACCAGCACCUCAAGUGGUCAGGAUGAUUAUUGGGCCUAAAGCAUCCGUAGCCGGCUUUGUAAGUUUUCGGUUAAAUCCAUGCGCUCAACGUAUGGGCUGCCGGGAAUACUGCAAAGCUAGGGAGUGGGAGAGGUAGACGGUACUCGGUAGGAAGGGGUAAAAUCCUUUGAUCUAUUGAUGACCACCUGUGGCGAAGGCGGUCUACCAGAACACGUCCGACGGUGAGGGAUGAAAGCUGGGGGAGCAAACCGGAUUAGAUACCCGGGUAGUCCCAGCUGUAAACUAUGCAAACUCAGUGAUGCAUUGGCUUGAUGCCAAUGCAGUGCUGCAGGGAAGCCGUUAAGUUUGCCGCCUGGGAAGUACGUACGCAAGUAUGAAACUUAAAGGAAUUGGCGGGGGAGCACCACAAGGGGUGAAGCCUGCGGUUCAAUUGGAGUCAACGCCAGAAAUCUUACCCGGAGAGACAGCAGAAUGAAGGUCAAGCUGAAGACUUUACCAGACAAGCUGAGAGGUGGUGCAUGGCCGUCGCCAGCUCGUGCCGUGAGAUGUCCUGUUAAGUCAGGUAACGAGCGAGAUCCCUGCCUCUAGUUGCCACCACUACUCUCAGGAGUAGUGGGGCGAAUUAGCGGGACCGCCGUAGUUAAUACGGAGGAAGGAAGGGGCCACGGCAGGUCAGUAUGCCCCGAAACUCUGGGGCCACACGCGGGCUGCAAUGGUAACGACAAUGUGUUCCAAAUCCGAAAGGAGGAGGUAAUCCUCAAACGUUACCACAGUUAUGACUGAGGGCUGCAACUCGCCCUCACGAAUAUGGAAUCCCUAGUAACUGCGUGUCACUAUCGCGCGGUGAAUACGUCCCUGCUCCU